AGUGAACGCUGGCGGUAGGCCUAACACAUGCAAGUCGAACGGCAGCACAGGAGAGCUUGCUCUCUGGGUGGCGAGUGGCGGACGGGUGAGGAAUACAUCGGAAUCUACUUUUUCGUGGGGGAUAACGUAGGGAAACUUACGCUAAUACCGCAUACGACCUACGGGUGAAAGCAGGGGACCUUCGGGCCUUGCGCGAUUGAAUGAGCCGAUGUCGGAUUAGCUAGUUGGCGGGGUAAAGGCCCACCAAGGCGACGAUCCGUAGCUGGUCUGGGAGGAUGAUCAGCCACACUGGACCGGAGACACGGUCCAGACUCCUACGGGAGGCAGCAGUGGGGAAUAUUGGACAAUGGGCGCAAGCCUGAUCCAGCCAUACCGCGUGGGUGAAGAAGGCCUUCGGGUUGUAAAGCCCUUUUGUUGGGAAAGAAAUCCAGCUGGCUAAUACCCGGUUGGGAUGACGGUACCCAAAGAAUAAGCACCGGCUAACUUCGUGCCAGCAGCCGCCGUAA
Molecule: ribosomal RNA, 506 nt
Filed under: uncultured bacterium
Lineage: Bacteria
Description: partial 16S ribosomal RNA
Rfam family: Bacterial small subunit ribosomal RNA
Source: RNAcentral